GGUGAUAUAGCCAAGUGAUUAAGGAGAAGGUCUGCAAAACCUUUAUCCCCGGUUUGAAUCCGGGUAUCACCU
Molecule: transfer RNA, 72 nt
Filed under: Mesobacillus zeae
Lineage: Bacteria; Bacillati; Bacillota; Bacilli; Caryophanales; Bacillaceae
Rfam family: tRNA
About the family: Transfer RNA (tRNA) molecules are approximately 80 nucleotides in length. Their secondary structure includes four short double-helical elements and three loops (D, anti-codon, and T loops).
Source: Rfam by way of RNAcentral